RNAcentral lists this long non-coding RNA (286 nucleotides) under Erythranthe guttata (spotted monkey flower). RNAcentral's name for it is "long non-coding RNA (EGUT_LNC000388)". Lineage: Eukaryota; Viridiplantae; Streptophyta; Magnoliopsida; Lamiales; Phrymaceae. The record is from RNAcentral.
AAGUCAACUAUAAUCCAAACAAUUUUCCUCGUACAAACUAAUUUGUCAAACAAAUUAUAUAAACAAAACAAUGGUUGAUACCAACUCAAAUGAAACAAACAUCAAACAAUACAAGAAGACAUACUUUAAAGCACAUCAAUUCACACACAAAUUCUUGAACAAAUUAUACAAUCACACUCACAUAAGCAGACGUGGUAAGAAUUAUAUACAAGUAAUUUACCUGAAGCAGAGUCAUCCUCAUUAAAUGGUGCAUCUACAUUUGUCUUACCGAUCCAUGCUAUCAUUG